This 576-nucleotide ribosomal RNA is filed under the name uncultured bacterium. RNAcentral's name for it is "bacterial SSU rRNA". It matches the Rfam family "Bacterial small subunit ribosomal RNA", at positions 8 to 630 of the family's 1533-position model. The record is from RNAcentral.
AGAGUUUGAUCCUGGCUCAGAAUGAACGCUGGCGGCAUGCCUAACACAUGCAAGUCGAACGAGACCUUCGGGUCUAGUGGCGCACGGGUGCGUAACGCGUGGGAAUCUGCCCCUUGGUUCGGAAUAACAGUUAGAAAUGACUGCUAAUACCGGAUAAUGACGUAAGUCCAAAGAUUUAUCGCCAAGGGAUGAGCCCGCGUAAGAUUAGCUAGUUGGUGGGGUAAAGGCCUACCAAGGCGACGAUCUUUAGCUGGUCUGAGAGGAUGAUCAGCCACACUGGGACUGAGACACGGCCCAGACUCCUACGGGAGGCAGCAGUGGGGAAUAUUGGACAAUGGGCGAAAGCCUGAUCCAGCAAUGCCGCGUGAGUGAUGAAGGCCUUAGGGUUGUAAAGCUCUUUUACCCGGGAAGAUAAUGACUGUACCGGGAGAAUAAGCCCCGGCUAACUCCGUGCCAGCAGCCGCGGUAAUACGGAGGGGGCUAGCGUUAUUCGGAAUUACUGGGCGUAAAGCGCACGUAGGCGGCUAUUCAAGUCAGAGGUGAAAGCCCGGAGCUCAACUCCGGAACUGCCUUUGA